This 250-nucleotide ribosomal RNA is filed under the name uncultured bacterium. Its description in RNAcentral is "partial 16S ribosomal RNA". It matches the Rfam family "Bacterial small subunit ribosomal RNA", at positions 524 to 773 of the family's 1533-position model. The record is from RNAcentral.
GACGAACCGUCCAAACGUUAUUCGGAAUCACUGGGCUUACAGAGUUCGUAGGCGGUCCCAAAAGUUAGGUGUGAAAUCCCUCGGCUCAACCGAGGAACUGCGCUUAAAACUGUGGGACUCGAGGGAGAUAGAGGAAAGCGGAACUGAUGGUGGAGCGGUGAAAUGCGUUGAUAUCAUCAGGAACACCGGUGGCGAAGGCGGCUUUCUGGGUCUUACCUGACGCUGAGGAACGAAAGCUAGGGGAGCGAAC